This 894-nucleotide ribosomal RNA is filed under the name uncultured archaeon. Its description in RNAcentral is "bacterial SSU rRNA". It matches the Rfam family "Archaeal small subunit ribosomal RNA", at positions 21 to 904 of the family's 1478-position model. The record is from RNAcentral.
CCCGACUGCUAUUUGGGUGAGGAUAAGCCAUGCGAGUUGAAUGGGAAACCUAAAAAUCCCAUGGCAAACUGCUCAGUAACACAUGAUCAACUUACCCUAUAGAGGAAAAUAACCUCGGGAAACUGAGGAUAAUGUUCCAUAGUUGAAUCGGCUUGGAAAAGUUUUUCAAUAAAAGGGAUAAGGAAGAUGGUCCUUAUCUGCUAUAGGAUAGGAUCGUGUUCGAUUAUGGUUGUUGGUGAGGUAAAGGCUCACCAAGCCGAUAAUCGAUAGGGGCCGUGAGAGCGGGAGCCCCGAGAUGGGUACUGAGACAACGACCCAGGCCUUACGAGGCGCAGCAGGCGCGAAACCUCCGCAAUACACGAAAGUGUGACGGGGUUACCCAAAGUGUUCAUUAGAACUGUGGUAGGUGAGUAAUGUUCCCUACUAGAAAGGAGAGGGCAAGGCUGGUGCCAGCCGCCGCGGUAAAACCAGCUCUUCAAGUGGUCGGGAUGAUAUUGGGCUUAAAGCGUCCGUAGCCGGCUUAGCAAGUCUCCUGUUAAAUUCAGCGACCUAAUCGUUGAGCCGCGGGAGAUACUACUAGGCUAGGAGGCGGGAGAGGUCGACGGUAUUUCCGGGGUAGGGGUGAAAUCCUAUAAUCCCGGGAGGACCGCCAGUGGCGAAGGCUGUCGACUAGAACGCGCUCGACGGUGAGGGACGAAAGCUGGGGGAGCGAACCGGAUUAGAUACCCGGGUAGUCCCAGCCGUAAACGAUGCGGGCUAGGUGUUGGGGUGGCUACGUGCCACUUCAGUGCCGCAGGGAAGCCAUUAAGCCCGCCGCCUGGGGAGUACGGCCGCAAGGCUGAAACUUAAAGGAAUUGGCGGGGGAGCACCACAAGGCGUGAAGCUUGCGGUUCA